UAGACCGCCUGGGGAGUACGGCCGCAAGGUUAAAACUCAAAUGAAUUGACGGGGGCCCGCACAAGCGGUGGAGCAUGUGGUUUAAUUCGAUGCAACGCGAAGAACCUUACCUGGUCUUGACAUCCACGGAAGAAUUCAGAGAUGGAUUUGUGCCUUCGGGAACCGUGAGACAGGUGCUGCAUGGCUGUCGUCAGCUCGUGUUGUGAAAUGUUGGGUUAAGUCCCGCAACGAGCGCAACCCUUAUCCUUUGUUGCCAGCGAUUAGGUCGGGAACUCAAAGGAGACUGCCAGU
This 291-nucleotide ribosomal RNA is filed under the name Salmonella enterica subsp. enterica serovar Mbandaka. RNAcentral's name for it is "partial 16S ribosomal RNA". It matches the Rfam family "Bacterial small subunit ribosomal RNA", at positions 865 to 1156 of the family's 1533-position model. The record is from RNAcentral. RNAcentral also lists the same sequence under 1 other name. Lineage: Bacteria; Pseudomonadati; Pseudomonadota; Gammaproteobacteria; Enterobacterales; Enterobacteriaceae.